GACGAACGCUGGCGGCAUGCCUAACACAUGCAAGUCGAACGGGACCUUCGGGUCUAGUGGCGCACGGGUGCGUACCGAGUGGGGACUUGCACUUAGGUUCGGAAUACCUCACCGUAGGGGGUGCUAAUAAAGGAUAGUGUAUUCGGGGAAAAGAGUUACCGCCUUUGGAUGGGCCCGCGUUGGAUUAGCUGGUUGGUAGGGUAAUAGCCUAUUAAUGCGACGAUCGAUGGCUGGUGUGUGAGGAUGAUCAGGCACACUGGGACUGAGACACGGCCCAGACUCCUACGGGAGGCAGCAGUGGGGAAUAUUGGACAAUGGGCGAAAGCCUGAGCCAGCAAUGCCGCGUGAGUGAUGAAGGCGUUAGGGUUGUAAAGCUCUUUUACCCGGGAGGAUAAUGACAGUACCGGGAGAAUAAGCUCCGGCUAACUCCGUG
Molecule: ribosomal RNA, 433 nt
Filed under: uncultured bacterium
Lineage: Bacteria
Description: partial 16S ribosomal RNA
Rfam family: Bacterial small subunit ribosomal RNA
Source: RNAcentral